AUUGAACGCUGGCGGCAGGCUUAACACAUGCAAGUCGAGCGAGCGGCGGACGGGUGAGUAAUGUCUGGGAAACUGCCUGAUGGAGGGGGCUAACUACUGGAAACGGUAGCUAAUACUGCAUAACAUCAGAUGUGCUCUGAUGGGAUUAGCUAGUGGGGGGGGUAAUGGCUCACCAAGGCGACGUUCCAUAGCUAGCCUGAGAGGAUGACCAGCCACACUGGAACUGAGACACGGGCCAGACUCCUACGUGAGGCAGCAGUGGGGAAUAUUGCACAAUGGGCGCAAGCCUGAUGCAGCCAUGCCGCGUGUGUGAAGAAGGCCUUCGGAUUGUAAAGCACUGUCAGCGGGGAAGCGUUACUCGCAGAAGAAGCACCGGCUAACUCCGUGCCAGCAGCCGCGGUAAUAC
Molecule: ribosomal RNA, 406 nt
Filed under: uncultured bacterium
Lineage: Bacteria
Description: partial 16S ribosomal RNA
Rfam family: Bacterial small subunit ribosomal RNA
Source: RNAcentral